This 460-nucleotide ribosomal RNA is filed under the name uncultured bacterium. RNAcentral describes it as "partial 16S ribosomal RNA". It matches the Rfam family "Bacterial small subunit ribosomal RNA", at positions 338 to 795 of the family's 1533-position model. The record is from RNAcentral.
CCUACGGGAGGCAGCAGUGAGGAAUAUUGGUCAAUGGGCGGGAGCCUGAACCAGCCAAGUCGCGUGAGGGAAGACGGUCCUAUGGAUUGUAAACCUCUUUAGGCGGGGAGCAAUGCCGGGCACGCGUGCCCGGAGGGAGAGUACCCGCAGAAUAAGCAUCGGCAAACUCCGUGCCAGCAGCCGCGGUAAUACGGAGGAUGCGAGCGUUAUCCGGAUUUAUGGGGUUAAAAGGGUGCGUAGGCGGAUUUUUCAGUCUGCGGUAAAAUGUCCGGGCUCAACCCGGGCCGGCCGUUGAAACUGGGGAUCUUGAGUGGGCGAGAAGUAUGCGGAAUGCGUGGUGUAGCGGUGAAAUGCAUAGAUAUCACGCAGAACUCCGAUUGCGAAGGCAGCAUACCGGCGCCCGACUGACGCUGAGGCACGAAAGCGUGGGGAUCGAACAGGAUUAGAUACCCGUGUAGUC